Long non-coding RNA from Acanthopagrus latus (yellowfin seabream), 414 nucleotides. RefSeq lists it as uncharacterized. The transcript has 3 exons. The record is from RefSeq and is a predicted model, not a curated record. Lineage: Eukaryota; Metazoa; Chordata; Actinopteri; Spariformes; Sparidae.
UUUUGCUUUCUCUUUCAGCAGCUGUGGAGAGAAGGUCAGGCCGCUUCCUUCAGAGAGUCACAGGCAGUUUUCCCACCUAUAUAUUGUUCACCCCUACAUAUUCCUAUGGCUGGACAGGAAUAUUUGGGUAAUUUUUCAUUGGCUUCCUGUCGAACUGUGUUUCUCGUCGACUUCUCCAGUGUUGGUGUAACCUCUGAGCUCUAGCUCCUCAUGCCACCCAGCCUUCUGCCCCUCUGCCACCAGGCUCUACUCCACCUUGGACCCUCCAUGUCUUGCUCACCAGUGUCUCCACCUAAGCCACUGCUGACGCCUCUGUGAGCCCCGGUACUGCACCAGCUGAACCACAGCCCGAGCCCUCACCAGCUGCCUCUCCCAACCACUGGAGCUUGUGAAAUAAAUUCCUUUAAAACCAUC